Long non-coding RNA from Suricata suricatta (meerkat), 306 nucleotides. RefSeq lists it as uncharacterized. The transcript has 2 exons. The record is from RefSeq and is a predicted model, not a curated record. NCBI's taxonomy places the organism in Eukaryota, Metazoa, Chordata, Mammalia, Carnivora, Herpestidae.
CUUUUUGACUCAACAUGACCUCUUCUACUUGCUAAGGGGCACAAGAAGCUAGAAACUAUUCUCUCUUUCCCAGCAGUGUCUGAAUCCAGAGCACUUGAUACAUCAUUAAAACGUAAUGCAGAAGAAGAAAAACACAUUGACUUUGAAAGGAGAUUUGAGCUGGAGUUCCAGCUCAUGGACGAGUGAAGAAUCACCGGAUAUCUCUGUGCCUCAGUUUCCCCUCUGUGAGAUGGGGACAUCAACAACUGUCAUACAACUUCACAAGGUUGUCGUAAAGAUCAAAUAAAAUAAUGUAGAUGAAUACGA